Molecule: Y RNA, 102 nt
Filed under: Propithecus coquereli (Coquerel's sifaka)
Lineage: Eukaryota; Metazoa; Chordata; Mammalia; Primates; Indriidae
Description: Y RNA (ENSPCOG00000005633.1)
Rfam family: Y RNA
About the family: Y RNAs are components of the Ro ribonucleoprotein particle (Ro RNP), in association with Ro60 and La proteins.
Source: Rfam by way of RNAcentral
GGUUGGUCUGAGUGUAGUGGUGUUUACAACUAAUUGAUCAAAACCAGUUACAGAUUCCUUUGUUUCUUCUCCACUCCCACUGCUUCACUUGACCAGCCUUUA